AGGACCACACUGUGGUCACUACAGACUCACAGAGUCAGAUUUUGAUCCUUUUCUCUUUCCCUAACAUGGGAGUUGUAAUCACAAUGAAGAGAGAUAGCUCUCUUCCCUGAGCGUGAACGACUGAGAUGACCUUAACUUAGUUCAAGAUCUUUGUCAUUGAUGAUCGUUCACUCUUUGUACUCAGUGCAGAGAGGAUAGGAAGCAGGGCUUUCUGAGUGAU
Molecule: small nucleolar RNA, 220 nt
Rfam family: Small nucleolar RNA U3
About the family: Small nucleolar RNAs (snoRNAs) are involved in the processing and modification of rRNA in the nucleolus. There are two main classes of snoRNAs: the box C/D class, and the box H/ACA class.
Source: Rfam